RNAcentral lists this ribosomal RNA (475 nucleotides) under uncultured bacterium. RNAcentral's name for it is "bacterial SSU rRNA". It matches the Rfam family "Bacterial small subunit ribosomal RNA", at positions 30 to 497 of the family's 1533-position model. The record is from RNAcentral.
AUUGAACGCUGGCGGCAUGCCUUACACAUGCAAGUCGAACGGCAGCACGGGAGCUUGCUCCUGGUGGCGAGUGGCGAACGGGUGAGUAAUGCAUCGGAACGUGCCCUGAAGUGGGGGAUAACGUAGCGAAAGUUACGCUAAUACCGCAUAUUCUGUGAGCAGGAAAGCAGGGGAUCUUCGGACCUUGCGCUUUUGGAGCGGCCGAUGUCGGAUUAGCUAGUUGGUGGGGUAAAGGCCCACCAAGGCGACGAUCCGUAGCGGGUCUGAGAGGAUGAUCCGCCACACUGGAACUGAGACACGGUCCAGACUCCUACGGGAGGCAGCAGUGGGGAAUUUUGGACAAUGGGCGCAAGCCUGAUCCAGCCAUGCCGCGUGAGUGAAGAAGGCCUCGGUUGUAAGACUCUUUCAGCCGGGAAGAAAUACGUCUUGGAUAAUACCUGAGGCGGAUGACGGUACCGGAAGAAGAAGACACCGG